Molecule: long non-coding RNA, 698 nt
Organism: Zophobas morio
Lineage: Eukaryota; Metazoa; Arthropoda; Insecta; Coleoptera; Tenebrionidae
Exons: 3
Source: RefSeq, a predicted model, not a curated record
UUGCUGUGUAUUGUAACUAUGACAAGUAAACAAAUUUUGAAAAAAACCAUUUUCAUCGUCAAAAUGUGCGAAAACGUUCCGGAAGAAAUUGCGAAAAAGGGAAAAGAAUUGCGAAGCAAUUUGUUACCCUUAAAGUCAAAAAAUGCAUACGAGAAAGUAUAUGUUUCGUUCCAAGACUGGAAAAAUAAAAACCGCAUCAAGGAAGUAACCGAAGAUGUUAUCUUGGCUUUUUUGGACAUGAGAUCGCAAAAGUUGUCACCUUGUUCUUUAUGGCCAGAAUAUAUAUUGAAAAAUUUGGUGCUGUUAUUUCGUAUAUAAAAAAAUUAAAUGUUGGUGAUCGUGGCAAAAAAUCCAACGUUCUGACACGAGAAGAAAUCAAAACUUUCUUGCAAAAAGCUGAUGACGGAGAAUAUUUAUUCGAGAAGGUUGCUUUAAUCUUUGGAAUUGCCGGAGCUUGCAGAAAGGCCGAAUUGUGUGCUAUGAGAUUUGACGAUAUACAAGAUUGUGAUAAUGUUCUGAAUAUUGUUAUACCUGACAGUAAAACCCACAAAGAAAGAAGAUUCAGUGUAGUUAAUGAAGGCUUUGGUGUUAAUACCAUUGAUUUGUAUCGACGUUAUGUUGCUUUACGACCCACAAAUUCACCAUUGAGGUUUUUUUUAAACUAUUAUAAAGGUAAAUGUACUCGCCAAAAUGUAGGA